Molecule: non-coding RNA, 1037 nt
Organism: Mus caroli (Ryukyu mouse)
Lineage: Eukaryota; Metazoa; Chordata; Mammalia; Rodentia; Muridae
Source: RefSeq, a predicted model, not a curated record
ACAGUGACAUCUCCCUCAUGCUCCUGCGUCGAUGACUUUCCCAUCGCUAUGAACCAUGUGUAACCUUGAGCUAUGAACGAAGGUACAACAGCUCUGUGCUGGAGGCCUUCUGUCUGGGUGUGGCUCAUUCCCAAGCCAAUGCUGACGGAGGGUCAUCCUUCAGGGAGUUGGUGCCCCAUGAUCAGUCCUCAUGGUGGCCCAUGGAGCAGCUGGUCUGUGUUACAUGUGCCCUACAACCCUAGGACUUGAAAGGGCGUACUCAAGACGCCAUGGGCUUCAGCAAAAGGAUUUGGAGGAAUCCAGCGGGAACUGACCUUGAAGACUCCUCCCCGAGGAAUGGCUGCCGUAGUAUCUGAAGGAGCCAUGCAAGCCAAAGGGGGAAGCAAUGAAAAGUUUUACCCAGAUGUAAAGCCAAUAAACCACAACAAUGACCAGCCUGGAAGAUGCACGGAUGGCACCUACAUCUAAUCGGAGUUUAGGGGACACUCAAUAGGAGGGAAAUCCUACUCUAAACCCAGCCAAUGAGCAGUGGCUGAGGUCAUGGAUCUCAGAGAGGAACCCACUGCUUUCCCAAACCAGCAUCAUCUCUUAACUGCAUCCUUCUAACCACAGAUAGAUGUAGCUCUCAGCCCUUGCUUGUCAAAGAAGCUUCAUGGCGCAGCCGGCAGAGACCAUCGCAGAAAUUUACAACUGGUCAAAAUGCAGAGAACAAAUGACCACGGGGUGCUGCACCCCAGCGGACACAUCUACAAUGCAACUCCUACACAAGGCUCAGAACACAUCCAGGAAGGAACAAUAUGGCUACCUAAAGGAGACCCGAACAAUGGCAACAACAGUUAGCACCCCAGUGUGGAUGCAAAGCUUGGCACAAAGCCACAGGUGAAGAACCACAGGCAAUUAGUGGCUCCCGAGAGACUUUGCUAGGGAUAGGUCCCCCACCCCCAUAGGUUUUUCAGCUCCAUGUGAUCGGUCCUAAACACAUGUACAUACAAGCAACACUAAGUGGACUCAGUAGGUUGGAUUUAUACACACACCAU